Molecule: regulatory RNA element, 46 nt
Organism: Fulmarus glacialis (Northern fulmar)
Lineage: Eukaryota; Metazoa; Chordata; Aves; Procellariiformes; Procellariidae
Rfam family: Histone 3' UTR stem-loop
About the family: The mRNAs of metazoan histone genes lack a poly-A tail.
Source: Rfam
CCAACGGCUCUUUUAAGAGCCACCCAAGUUUUCUCAAAAAGGGCUG